RNAcentral lists this unclassified non-coding RNA (348 nucleotides) under soil metagenome. Its description in RNAcentral is "partial contains 5.8S ribosomal RNA, internal transcribed spacer 2, and large subunit ribosomal RNA". The stretch from base 1 to 120 matches the Rfam family "5.8S ribosomal RNA", at positions 35 to 154 of the family's 154-position model. The record is from RNAcentral.
GAUGAAGAACGUAGCAAAAUGCGAUAAGUGAUGUGAAUUGCAGAAUUCAGUGAAUCAUCGAAUCUUUGAACGCACAUUGCGCCCGCUGGUAUUCCGGCGGGCAUGCCUGUUCGAGCGUCAUUUCAACCCUCAAGCCCCCGGGUUUGGUGUUGGGGAUCGGCUCUGCCCUUCUGGGCGGUGCCGCCCCCGAAAUACAUUGGCGGUCUCGCUGCAGCCUCCAUUGCGUAGUAGCUAACACCUCGCAACUGGAACGCGGCGCGGCCAUGCCGUAAAACCCCAACUUCUGAAUGUUGACCUCGGAUCAGGUAGGAAUACCCGCUGAACUUAAGCAUAUCAAUAAGCGGAGGA